CGAAAGUUAGGGGAUCGAAGACGAUCAGAUACCGUCGUAGUCUUAACCAUAAACUAUGCCGACUAGGGAUCGGGCGAUGUUAUCUUUUUGACUCGCUCGGCACCUUACGAGAAAUCAAAGUCUUGGGUUCUGGGGGGAGUAUGGUCGCAAGGCUGAAACUUAAAGAAAUGACGGAAGGGCACCACCAGGAGUCAAGAGUUCUGCUCCGAAAAGCAUCCCGAGAGGGUGGUGGACGUCCCGAGAAUGAAUAGUGCUAGUCAGCAAUGGCAACGCUUCCAAAUUGCGGGGAUACCCUAACGCUCGAGGUACCACACGGCUGCUGAAAGGCGCCGCAAGGUCACAAUCCGAGAGAUGUUACAAUGGGCAAUCCGCAGCCGUCUCCUCCCGCCGAAAUGGCUACGGGGGCGGUCCAGAGACUAAAUGGAAGUGGGAGGCAGCGCCUCUUAAGAUAUAGUCCGCCGAUGACCGUACCGUCAUCGAAUUUAACGGGAGCCUGCGGCUUAAUUUGACUCAACACGG
This 519-nucleotide ribosomal RNA is filed under the name uncultured fungus. Its description in RNAcentral is "partial 18S ribosomal RNA". It matches the Rfam family "Eukaryotic small subunit ribosomal RNA", at positions 984 to 1227 of the family's 1831-position model. Lineage: Eukaryota; Fungi. The record is from RNAcentral.